Molecule: non-coding RNA, 101 nt
Organism: Gymnopus androsaceus JB14
Lineage: Eukaryota; Fungi; Basidiomycota; Agaricomycetes; Agaricales; Omphalotaceae
Source: the annotation of a GenBank genome assembly
GGCGCUAUAGCCAAGUGGUUACGGCGACAGAUUAGAAUGGUUUAUAUUUUCCGCUCAUCUGUUCCUCUUUGAGGGCGCAGGUUCAAAUCCUGCUGGCGUCG